CUCUAGGGACUCGUCCUCCGAGUAUGUGGCAGUGGGGACCCUAGGCUACCAGGAUGCGAUGUUUGGGGCCCCUCGGACCCCCCGGGGGCCAAACAGCAGACGAUGCCUCCGUUUGGCCCGAAAUUGACACCCACGCCUCGUCAGGCGCCCCUGGGGCCGUGACUGGAGCCUCGUGUCCCUUCGACCCGUUUUCGUGCUUAAUUGGCCCAAGUGUCAACGAACAGCCUACGUCGAAUAGGUUGCAGGACGGACGUCUGGAAAGCAGGGGUCAAAAGGUCGCAGCUGCUCCAAAUUUGACACGGUGGUAGUCCAGGGGCCCCUGGGUCAGGAUCCAGGGUUUCGGGGUCCUAGGUGGGCCCCCAGUCUGUUUCCUAACCCUACCCUGUAUUUUCACUGGGCCCUUUGGAGAGGCUCUCUCUGUCUAUGAGUGGAAGAGGCCUUUGUGAGAGAUUUUGAAAAAAGAAGGUCAAAAAUAUUUCCCUGCGCUCUAGGGACUCGUCCUCCUAGUAUGUGGCAGUGGGGACCCUAGGCUACCAGGAUGCGAAGUUUGGGGCCCCUCGGGCCCCCGGGGGCCAAACUGCAGCCGAUGCCUCCGUUUGGCCCGAAAUUGACACCCACGCCUCGUCAGGGGCCCCUGGGGCCGUGAGUGGAGUCUCGUGUCCCUUCGACCCGUUUUCGUGCUUAAUUGGCCCAAGUGUCAACGAACAGCCUACGUCGAAUAGGUUGCAGGACGGACGUCUGGAAAGCAGGGAUCAAAAGGUCAAAAAUAUUUCCCUGCGCUCUAGGGACUCGUCCUCCUAGUAUGUGGCAGUGGGGACCCUAGGCUACCAGGAUGCGAAGUUUGGGGCCCCUCGGACCCCCCGGGGGCCAAACAGCAGACGAUGCCUCCGUUUGGCCCGAAAUUGACACCCACGCAUCGUCAGGCGCCCCUGGGGCCGUGACUGGAGCCUCGUGUCUCUUCGACCCGUUUUCGUGCUUAAUUGGCCCAAGUGUCAACGAACAGCCUACGUCGAAUAGGUUGCAGGACGGACGUCUGGAAAGCAGGGGUCAAAAGGUCGCAGCUGCUCCAAAUUUGACACGGUGGUAGUCCAGGGGCCCCUGGGUCAGGAUCCAGGGUUUCGGGGUCCUAGGUGGGCCCCCAGUCUGUUUCCUAACCCUACCCUGUAUUUUCACUGGGCCCUUUGGAGAGGCUCUUUCUGUCUAUGAGUGGAAGAGGCCUUUGUGAGAGAUUUUGAAAAAAGAAGGUCAAAAAUAUUUCCCUGCGCUCUAGGGACUCGUCCUCCUAGUAUGUGGCAGUGGGGACCCUAGGCUACCAGGAUGCGAAGUUUGGGGCCCCUCGGGCCCCCGGGGGCCAAACUGCAGCCGAUGACUCCGUUUGGCCCGAAAUUGACACCCACGCCUCGUCAGGGGCCCCUGGGGCCGUGAGUGGAGUCUCGUGUCCCUUCGACCCGUUUUCGUGCUUAAUUGGCCCAAGUGUCAACGAACAGCCUACGUCGAAUAGGUUGCAGGACGGACGUCUGGAAAGCAGGGAUCAAAAGGUCAAAAAUAUUUCCCUGCGCUCUAGGGACUCGUCCUCCUAGUAUGUGGCAGUGGGGACCCUAGGCUACCAGGAUGCGAAGUUUGGGGCCCCUCGGGCCCCCGGGGGCCAAACUGCAGCCGAUGACUCCGUUUGGCCCGAAAUUGACACCCACGCCUCGUCAGGGGCCCCUGGGGCCGUGAGUGGAGUCUCGUGUCCCUUCGACCCGUUUUCGUGCUUAAUUGGCCCAAGUGUCAACGAACAGCCUACGUCGAAUAGGUUGCAGGACGGACGUCUGGAAAGCAGGGGUCAAAAGGUCAAAAAUAUUUCCCUGCGCUCUAGGGACUCGUCCUCCGAGUAUGUGGCAGUGGGGACCCUAGGCUACCAGGAUGCGAAGUUUGGGGCCCCUCGGACCCCCCGGGGGCCAAAAAGCAGACGAUGCCUCCGUUUGGCCCGAAAUUGACACCCACGCCUCGUCAGGGGCCCCUGGGGCCGUGACUGGAGCCUUGUGUCCCUUCGACCCGUUUUCGUGCUUAAUUGGCCCAAGUGUCAACGAACAGCCUACGUCGAAUAGGUUGCAGGACGGACGUCUGGAAAGCAGGGUUCAAAAGGUCAAAAAUAUUUCCCUACGCUCUAGGGACUCGUCCUCCUAGUAUGUGGCAGUGGGGACCCUAGGCUACCAGGAUGCGAAGUUUGGGGCCCCUCGGGCCCCCUGGGGGCCAAACUGCAGCCGAUGACUCCGUUUGGCCCGAAAUUGACACCCUCGCCUCGUCAGGGGCCCCUGGGGCCGUGUCUGGAGCCUCGUGUCCCUUCGACCCGUUUUCGUGCUUAAUUGGCCCAAGUGUCAACGAACAGCCUACGUCGAAUAGGUUGCAGGACGGACGUCUGGAAAGCAGGGGUCAAAAGGUCGCAGCUGCUCCAAAUUUGACACGGUGGUAGUCCUGGGGCCCCUGGGUCAGGAUCCAGGGUUUCAGGGUCCUAGGUGGGCCCCGAGUCUGUUUCCUAACCCUACCCUAUAUUUUCACUGGGCCCUUUGGAGAAGGUCUUUCUGUCUAUGAGUGGAAGAGGCCUUUGUGAGAGAUUUUGAAAGAAGGAGGUCAAAAAUAUUUCCCUGCGCUCUAGGGACUCGUCCUCCUAGUAUGUGGCAGUGGGGACCCUAGGCUACCAGGAUGCAAAGUUUGGGGCCCUUCGACCCGUUGGGGCCCCUCUGUCACGGAGGCGCGGCCGCCUAAAGCUUAGUCUCCCGUCUAGUGCGCACUCCUAGUGACGUAACUCCGAGUCCGCGAGGGUCAGAGAGACGAGGCAGGGCUCGUUCGAAGGGUCUGAGCGAGCCGCGUCGGCCCAGUGGCGAACGGGGUCCAGGUUCGCUCCGGUUUUGGAGGCAGGGUCCCGAACGCGUUGCUACGCGCCCCCGGUAAGGUACGGGGGGCCGCCGUCCUGCGCGACGGUGCGCUAGGGAGGCCAGGUCGGGCUCUUUCGACAGGGUUCGGGCAGACCUUUUGCACGAGACCGGUCCCGACGCCGUGGUCGCUCCGGUUCGGGAGCAGCGUCCGCGGGACGCCGGUCGGUACGGGGCCGAUUCCUCCGGAACCCGGAGCCUCACGCACUUGUCCCUGGGCUCUCCGGAAAGGUCUCGACGCGCCCCGUCGAACGAGACCAGCGCGGCGUCCGUGGUCGGUCCGGUUCCGGAGGGAGGUCGGGCGGAAGGGGCGCUUUUUCGCGGGGCCCUUUCUCCGGUUCCCCGCGGGCUAGGGAGGCGAGGUUAAUGUCGUUGGAAAGGUCUCGGCGAGCCCCGUCGAACGAGACCGGCCCCGAGUCCGUGGUCGGUCCGGUUCCGGAGGGAGGUCGUGCGUAAUGGGCGCUUCUUCGCGGGGCCCUUUCUCCGGUUCCCCGCGCGCUAGGGAGGCGAGGUGGGUGUCGUUGGAAAGGUCUCGGUUAGCCCCGUCGAACGAGACCAGCCCCGAGUCCUUGGGCGGUCCGCUUCGGGAGGGAUUCAGGAUCCUAAGUGGGCCCCGAGUCUUUUUCAUGACUUUACCCUAUAUUUUCACUGGGCCCUUUGGAGAGGGUCUUUCUGUCUAUGAGUGGAAGAGGCCUUUGUGAGAGAUUUUGAAAAAAGAAGGUCAAAAAUAUUUCCCUGAGCUCUAGGGACUCGUCCUCCUAGUAUGUGGCAGUGGGGACCCUAGGCUACCAGUUUGCAAAGUUUGGGGCCCCCCGGGUCUAUUUUGGGAAAAAUAGGCAGUUAGGUGGAUGAAUAGGCUGUUCGUGGGACGAGAGGAAGACUACGGUGAAGAGUAGUCACUUUAGGCACUUCGUGGACAAUGACGAAAAAUAGGCACUUAGGUGGAUGAAUAGGCUGUUCGUGGGACGUGAGGAAGACUAAGGACGAAGAGUAGUCACUUAGGUGGCGCUUUUGGCACAAUGAUGAAAAAUAGGCACUUAGGUGGAUGAAUAGGCUGUUCGUGGGACGCGAGGAAGACUAGGAUGAACAGUAGUCACUUAGGUGGCGCUUUAGGCACAAUGACGAAAAAUAGUCACUCAGGUGGAUGAAUAGGCCGUUCGUGGGACGUGAGGAAGACCGCGGUGAAGAGCGGUCACUCAGGUGGCACUUUGGGCACAAUGACGAAAAAUAGGCACUUAGGUGGAUGAAUAGGCCGUUCGUGGGACGUGAGGAAGACCGCGGUGAAGAGCGGUCACUCAGGUGGCACUUUGGGCACAAUGACGAAAAAUAGGCAAUCAGGUGGAUGAAUAGGCUGUUCGUGGGACGUGAGGAAGACUAAGGAUGAAGAGCAGUCACUUAGGUGGCGCUUUAGGCACAAUGACGAAAAAUAGGCACUUAGGUGGACGAAUAGGCCGUUCGUGGGACGAGAGGAAGAGUAGGAUGAAGAGUAGUCACUUAGGUGGCGCUUUAGGCACAAUGACGAAAAAUAGGCACUUAGGUGGACGAAUAGGCUGUUCGUGGGACGAGAGGAAGACCACGGUGAAGGGUGGUCACUUUCGGCACUCAGGUGGACGAAUAGGCUGUCCGGGGGACGUGAGGAAGACCACGGCGAAGAGCGGUCACUUAGGUGGCGCUUUAGGCACAAUGAUGAAAAAUAGUCACUUCGGUGGACGAAUAGGCUGUUCGUGGGACGAGAGGAAGACCACGGUGAAGGGCGGUCACUUUAGGCACGCAGGUGGACGAAUAGGCUGUCCGGGGGACGUGAGGAAGACCACGGCGAAGAGAGGUCACUUAGGUGGCGCUUCAGGCACAAUGAUGAAAAAUAGUCACUCCGGUGGACGAAUAGGCUGUUCGUGGGACGAGAGCAAGACUCAG
This is a long non-coding RNA of Xyrauchen texanus (razorback sucker), 4829 nucleotides long. RefSeq lists it as uncharacterized. The transcript has 4 exons. Lineage: Eukaryota; Metazoa; Chordata; Actinopteri; Cypriniformes; Catostomidae. The record is from RefSeq and is a predicted model, not a curated record.